UUAAGCGACUAAGCGUACACGGUGGAUGCCCUGGCAGUCAGAGGCGAUGAAGGACGUGCUAAUCUGCGAAAAGCGUCGGUAAGGUGAUAUGAACCGUUACAGCCGGCGAUGUCCGAAUGGGGAAACCCAGUGCAAUUCGUUGCACUAUCGUUAACUGAAUACAUAGGUUAGCGAGGCGAACCGGGGGAACUGAAACAUCUAAGUACCCCGAGGAAAAGAAAUCAACCGAGAUUCCCCCAGUAGCGGCGAGCGAACGGGGAGCAGCCCAGAGUCUGAAUCAGCUUGUGUGUUAGUGGAACGGUCUGGAAAGUCCGACGGUACAGGGUGAUAGUCCCGUACACCAAAAUGCACAGGUUGUGAACUCGAAGAGUAGGGCGGGACACGUGGUAUCCUGUCUGAAUAUGGGGGGACCAUCCUCCAAGGCUAAAUACUCCUGACUGACCGAUAGUGAACCAGUACCGUGAGGGAAAGGCGAAAAGAACCCCGGCGAGGGAGUGAAAAAGAACCUGAAACCGUGUACGUACAAGCAGUGGGAGCACCUUCGGGUGUGACUGCGUACCUUUUGUAUAAUGGGUCAGCGACUUAUAUUCUGUAGCAAGGUUAACCGUAUAGGGGAGCCGCAGGGAAACCGAGUCUUAACUGGGCGUUAAGUUGCAGGGUAUAGACCCGAAACCCGGUGAUCUAGCCAUGGGCAGGUUGAAGGUUGGGUAACACUAACUGGAGGACCGAACCGACUAAUGUUGAAAAAUUAGCGGAUGACUUGUGGCUGGGGGUGAAAGGCCAAUCAAACCGGGAGAUAGCUGGUUCUCCCCGAAAGCUAUUUAGGUAGCGCCUCGUGAACUCAUCUUCGGGGGUAGAGCACUGUUUCGGCUAGGGGGUCAUCCCGACUUACCAACCCGAUGCAAACUACGAAUACCGAAGAAUGUUAUCACGGGAGACACACGGCGGGUGCUAACGUCCGUCGUGAAGAGGGAAACAACCCAGACCGCCAGCUAAGGUCCCAAAGUCAUGGUUAAGUGGGAAACGAUGUGGGAAGGCACAGACAGCCAGGAUGUUGGCUUAGAAGCAGCCAUCAUUUAAAGAAAGCGUAAUAGCUCACUGGUCGAGUCGGCCUGCGCGGAAGAUGUAACGGGGCUAAACCAUGCACCGAAGCUGCGGCAGCGACACUAUGUGUUGUUGGGUAGGGGAGCGUUCUGUAAGCCUGCGAAGGUGACCUGUGAGGGUUGCUGGAGUAUCAGAAGUGCGAAUGCUGACAUAAGUAACGAUAAAGCGGGUGAAAAGCCCGCUCGCCGGAAGACCAAGGGUUCCUGUCCAACGUUAAUCGGGGCAGGGUGAGUCGACCCCUAAGGCGAGGCCGAAAGGCGUAGUCGAUGGGAAACAGGUUAAUAUUCCUGUACUUGGUGUUACUGCGAAGGGGGACGGAGAAGGCUAUGUUAGCCGGGCGACGGUUGUCCCGGUUUAAGCAUGUAGGCUGGUUGUCCAGGCAAAUCCGGAUAAUCAAGGCUGAGGUGUGAUGACGAGGCACUACGGUGCUGAAGUAACAAAUGCCCUGCUUCCAGGAAAAGCCUCUAAGCAUCAGGUAACAUUAAAUCGUACCCCAAACCGACACAGGUGGUCAGGUAGAGAAUACCAAGGCGCUUGAGAGAACUCGGGUGAAGGAACUAGGCAAAAUGGUGCCGUAACUUCGGGAGAAGGCACGCUGGUGUGUAGGUGAAGCCCCUGCGGGUGGAGCUGAGACCAGUCGAAGAUACCAGCUGGCUGCAACUGUUUAUUAAAAACACAGCACUGUGCAAACACGAAAGUGGACGUAUACGGUGUGACGCCUGCCCGGUGCCGGAAGGUUAAUUGAUGGGGUUAUCCGUAAGGAGAAGCUCUUGAUCGAAGCCCCGGUAAACGGCGGCCGUAACUAUAACGGUCCUAAGGUAGCGAAAUUCCUUGUCGGGUAAGUUCCGACCUGCACGAAUGGCGUAAUGAUGGCCAGGCUGUCUCCACCCGAGACUCAGUGAAAUUGAACUCGCUGUGAAGAUGCAGUGUACCCGCGGCAAGACGGAAAGACCCCGUGAACCUUUACUAUAGCUUGACACUGAACAUUGAGCCUUGAUGUGUAGGAUAGGUGGGAGGCUUUGAAGCGUGGACGCCAGUCUGCGUGGAGCCAACCUUGAAAUACCACCCUUUAAUGUUUGAUGUUCUAACGUUGGCCCCUUACCGGGGUUGCGGACAGUGUCUGGUGGGUAGUUUGACUGGGGCGGUCUCCUCCCAAAGCGUAACGGAGGAGCACGAAGGUUAGCUAAUCCUGGUCGGACAUCAGGAGGUUAGUGCAAUGGCAUAAGCUAGCUUGACUGCGAGCGUGACGGCGCGAGCAGGUGCGAAAGCAGGUCAUAGUGAUCCGGUGGUUCUGAAUGGAAGGGCCAUCGCUCAACGGAUAAAAGGUACUCCGGGGAUAACAGGCUGAUACCGCCCAAGAGUUCAUAUCGACGGCGGUGUUUGGCACCUCGAUGUCGGCUCAUCACAUCCUGGGCUGAAGUAGGUCCCAAGGGUAUGGCUGUUCGCCAUUUAAAGUGGUACGCGAGCUGGGUUUAGAACGUCGUGAGACAGUUCGGUCCCUAUCUGCCGUGGGCGCUGGAGAAUUGAGGGGGGCUGCUCCUAGUACGAGAGGACCGGAGUGGACGCAUCACUGGUGUUCGGGUUGUCAUGCCAAUGGCACUGCCCGGUAGCUAAAUGCGGAAGAGAUAAGUGCUGAAAGCAUCUAAGCACGAAACUUGCCCCGAGAUGAGUUCUCCCUGAGACUUUAAGUCUCCUGAAGGAACGUUGAAGACGACGACGUUGAUAGGCCGGGUGUGUAAGCGCAGCGAUGCGUUGAGCUAACCGGUACUAAUGAACCGUGAGGCUUAACCUU
Molecule: ribosomal RNA, 2896 nt
Filed under: Klebsiella pneumoniae
Lineage: Bacteria; Pseudomonadati; Pseudomonadota; Gammaproteobacteria; Enterobacterales; Enterobacteriaceae
Description: bacterial LSU rRNA
Rfam family: Bacterial large subunit ribosomal RNA
Source: RNAcentral